GAGAGAGAGAAGUAAACAUAUAGUUAACUCUUGAGAAUGGUGCCAUAGAUAAUGUAGCAAGAGCAGAAUUAAGAGGAGACAAUGAGGGCAAAGCCUCUCACAGAAAAUCUACUCAAAUUUGCAUAAUUUUAUUACGAAAGCAUUAUUAUAGUUAUUUAAAGAUAGCCAUUUGAAAAAAAAUUAUUAAGAGCCAAAGACUUUUUCCUCCUUAUCCUGUUGGGCUUUCUAAAUGCCCCUAGUCCUAAGGAUUCUGAAAGUACUUCAUCCAUCAUUUUUGGUUCCCCACAGAAGUUUAUGCAGCUAUUGGCUACAACAGCAAUGACUAAGCCUUGAUCCCAAUAAUGCAUAAAUUCAGUUUUAACCAAAUAGUGCUCAAUCCUUAUUUUAAAGAAAUUUCUUCUUCCUCAAAAGAAAACUAUAGGGAUUAUCUAUUGCUUAACAACAUUUUUCUUUGUCUUGGAUUCAAACAUUUUCUCAGAGCUAGUGACACAAAUUUCUAGUAAUUAGAUGACAGCAACAUUAAAUAAUUCAUCAAAUACUUAAAUCUACCAUCUAAGGAUUUUGUAUUCCAGUGAAAAAUUAGCAACUGUCAGUAAAUUGGUAAAGACUUCAUAUAGUUCUCUAGCAUGGAAGGAAUCGCUAACACAAUUAUCAUGUUCAUGCAAAAUUUGAACUCAUACUCUCACUGAUUGUGUGCAUUAAAAUACAUAGAAUUUCAGAACAACUGCAAUACCUGGGCUAUGUGUUUGGCAGAGA
This 756-nucleotide unclassified non-coding RNA is filed under the name Hevea brasiliensis (rubber tree). The record is from RNAcentral. Lineage: Eukaryota; Viridiplantae; Streptophyta; Magnoliopsida; Malpighiales; Euphorbiaceae.